This 381-nucleotide ribosomal RNA is filed under the name Enterobacter cloacae. Its description in RNAcentral is "bacterial SSU rRNA". It matches the Rfam family "Bacterial small subunit ribosomal RNA", at positions 96 to 478 of the family's 1533-position model. The record is from RNAcentral. Lineage: Bacteria; Pseudomonadati; Pseudomonadota; Gammaproteobacteria; Enterobacterales; Enterobacteriaceae.
UGGCGGACGGGUGAGUAAUGUCUGGGAAACUGCCUGAUGGAGGGGGAUAACUACUGGAAACGGUAGCUAAUACCGCAUAACGUCGCAAGACCAAAGAGGGGGACCUUCGGGCCUCUUGCCAUCAGAUGUGCCCAGAUGGGAUUAGCUAGUAGGUGGGGUAACGGCUCACCUAGGCGACGAUCCCUAGCUGGUCUGAGAGGAUGACCAGCCACACUGGAACUGAGACACGGUCCAGACUCCUACGGGAGGCAGCAGUGGGGAAUAUUGCACAAUGGGCCCAAGCCUGAUGCAGCCAUGCCGCGUGUAUGAAGAAGGCCUUCGGGUUGUAAAGUACUUUCAUCGGGGAAGAAGGUGUUGUGGUUUAUAACCGCCACAAUUGAC